Molecule: transfer RNA, 75 nt
Filed under: Candidatus Woesearchaeota archaeon
Lineage: Archaea; Nanobdellati; Candidatus Woesearchaeota
Description: tRNA-Arg
Rfam family: tRNA
About the family: Transfer RNA (tRNA) molecules are approximately 80 nucleotides in length. Their secondary structure includes four short double-helical elements and three loops (D, anti-codon, and T loops). Further hydrogen bonds mediate the characteristic L-shaped molecular structure. tRNAs have two regions of fundamental functional importance: the anti-codon, which is responsible for specific mRNA codon recognition, and the 3' end, to which the tRNAs corresponding amino acid is attached (by aminoacyl-tRNA synthetases). tRNAs cope with the degeneracy of the genetic code in two manners: having more than one tRNA (with a specific anti-codon) for a particular amino acid; and 'wobble' base-pairing, i.e. permitting non-standard base-pairing at the 3rd anti-codon position.
Source: RNAcentral
GCGCCCGUAGCUCAGCCUGGAGAGAGCGACUGCCUUCUAAGCAGUAGGUCCAGGGUUCGAAUCCCUGCGGGCGCG